GAGGCAUUAUUGGUAGCCACACGUGAGGAGCUAAUAGAGCAAGUGGUCGGCAAGCCGCGCCCUUAUGUUGGAAGAAUUGAAGAAAUUAACGAGACGAAUGCUGCCCCGGCGAUGACAGCCACACUCGAGCGAAAGGCGAAUGAUUCGGAAGGCCUACAAACAGCAUUCAAGCAAAUUAUCGAUAGGCUCAACAAAUUGGACAUAUAGUAGAACAUAAAAUAAGCUCACAGCCACCGAUUACUUCACAACCUGUAGAGCCACAGGGAACACGAAAGAUGCCCGCCACGAACCAUCUAUGCCGCCGCAACAUUAUGAACAAGGUUGGAUUCGUCCCCGUUAUACUUAUAGGCCGCCGCACAUAACUGGUAUCCACAAUCUCGUUUAAUCGAUUAUCAAAAUUUUAGGGGAAGACUCACAUCGAGAUUUGAGCCACUUCAGACUUUUAGCGGACCACAAGGGAGUUAACGCUUUCGGAAUCCAGCUCAACCCUCACAUCGUAAAUCAGGACGAUCACGACCUAUUCCACAAUAAAAUUUUCAGGGUAGAACUGCGGUCAGAAUCGAAAUGGGACAAAUUCCUGACUAGUGCGAGAUAAACACGUAUUGAAACAAUGCAUUAGUUUGGGUAAUAAUUGAGCAAAGCCUUCGCAUACCAUUAUAUCAGUAAAAAGAGAAAUAGAAGCAUAUUAAUCAUAACAAAUCUAAGGACAUCAUUCAAUUUAAAAAAAUAUACGAAACAAAAUUAGCCAGGGACGCAGAUCCGAGCCUAAAAUCCUUAGUAAACGGACAAUCAAGCUACCUAACGAUCGAUAUCGGAGUUAAGGUCACACUGUUGUCAAAAACGUUCGUAAACUCUUUAGGCCGAUUUCCAUUUCCGCGUCACGAUGUAAAUUUAAAAUUACAAAGUGCUACGGGACAUGUAAUUCAAACAUAUGGAAGAUACGAAUUUACUUUCAAAUAGGUCCAUUGCGGCUCAAACACGCUUGUUAUAUUGCCGAUCCGUAUAUUACUACACCGAACGAUGGUAUAUUAGGUCGUGAUAUUAUCGUCAAAUAUCACCUAAUAAUAUCGUUGCAUGAUUCGAAAAUAAUAUUAGUUAAUGGCACACAAAUCACUUUUAAAGGUGAAUUGUGCAAUCAAACUACUGUAAAGAGGUCUGUGCAGCAACACACCGCCGUUCAUAUCAGUAACAAAAACAACGGUAACCAAAACGAGGAGAAACCAGGUUCACAGUCUAGCAGUUGCCGCGAUGGCGCGAAAACUGUUUAUCUGGUAAAAGACAAAGGUAUAUCGCCUAUGUCGGAAGCUAUAAUAUUGGCGAAAGUUAUAGGUAUUAGACAAAAAAACCAGUUGGGGGUGAUAGAAUCGGAAAUUUUGAGUAUUCCGGUACUAAUGACUAUGGACGUUUUAAUCAGAACGAAAGCGAGAGGCAGGAUCCUCGUUAGAAUUAUGAAUAUCACAACUAAUGCUAUAAAAUUACAUAAACAAGACUCAGUAGGUAAAUUUUUAUAGGCAAGAAAAGAAACUGAAGAACAAACAAAUAAUGAAAAGUCACAAAAAGUCGAUGGGAUUGAGAACAUGAAUCAGAAAGACUUUGGAAAUCUUUUUGACUGGUCGAAAAUGGGAAAGGACAAGAAGAAACCAUUAUUAGUUUUACUGUACAAAUAUAAGCAUGUCUUUGCGACUAAUAAUUUCGAUUUAGGGUAUUGCGAUAUCGUGCAACAUGAAUUUUCCGAGACCUAGAAAUGACACCGAAGUGCUCUCAUUUCUGCAAUUAACAGG
Molecule: long non-coding RNA, 1781 nt
Filed under: Androctonus crassicauda
Lineage: Eukaryota; Metazoa; Arthropoda; Arachnida; Scorpiones; Buthidae
Source: RNAcentral